This 450-nucleotide ribosomal RNA is filed under the name uncultured bacterium. RNAcentral's name for it is "partial 16S ribosomal RNA". It matches the Rfam family "Bacterial small subunit ribosomal RNA", at positions 354 to 796 of the family's 1533-position model. The record is from RNAcentral.
GUAGGGAAUCUUCCACAAUGGACGAAAGUCUGAUGGAGCAACGCCGCGUGAGUGAAGAAGGUUCUCGGAUCGUAAAACUCUGUUGUGAGGGAAGAACAAGUACCGGAGUAACUGCCGGUACCUUGACGGUACCUCAUUAGAAAGCCACGGCUAACUACGUGCCAGCAGCCGCGGUAAUACGUAGGUGGCAAGCGUUGUCCGGAAUCAUUGGGCGUAAAGCGCGCGCAGGCGGUCCCUUAAGUCUGAUGUGAAAGCCCACGGCUCAACCGUGGAGGGUCAUUGGAAACUGGGGGACUUGAGUGCAGAAGAGGAAAGCGGAAUUCCAAGUGUAGCGGUGAAAUGCGUAGAGAUUUGGAGGAACACCAGUGGCGAAGGCGGCUUUCUGGUCUGUAACUGACGCUGAGGCGCGAAAGCGUGGGGAGCAAACAGGAUUAGAAACCCGUGUAGUCC